This 473-nucleotide ribosomal RNA is filed under the name uncultured bacterium. RNAcentral's name for it is "bacterial SSU rRNA". It matches the Rfam family "Bacterial small subunit ribosomal RNA", at positions 355 to 825 of the family's 1533-position model. The record is from RNAcentral.
UGGGGAAUUGUUCACAAUGGGCGCAAGCCUGAUGACGCAACGCCGCGUGGGGGAUGAAGGUCUUCGGAUCGUAAACCCCUGUCGAAUGGGACGAAAGACUCGCGAGUGAAUACUUCGCGAGAGUGACGGUACCGUUAAAGGAAGCCACGGCUAACUCUGUGCCAGCAGCCGCGGUAAUACAGAGGUGGCAAGCGUUGUUCGGAAUUACUGGGCGUAAAGGGCGCGUAGGCGGCCCUCUAAGUCAGACGUGAAAUCCCCCGGCUUAACCUGGGAACUGCGUCUGAUACUGGAGGGCUUGAGUAUGGGAGAGGGAUGUAGAAUUCCAGGUGUAGCGGUGAAAUGCGUAGAUAUCUGGUGGAAUACCGGUGGCGAAGGCGGCAUCCUGGACCAUUACUGACGCUGAGGCGCGAAAGCUAGGGGAGCAAACGGGAUUAGAUACCCCCGUAGUCCCUGAGCGGGCUGGCAAGGCGCAU